GACGAACGCUGGCGGCGUGCUUAACACAUGCAAGUCGAACGGUAAGGCCCUUCGGGGUACACGAGUGGCGAACGGGUGAGUAACACGUGGGUGAUCUGCCCUGCACUUCGGGAUAAGCCUGGGAAACUGGGUCUAAUACCGGAUAGGACCACUGCCUGCAUGGGUGGUGGUGGAAAGCUUUUGCGGUGUGGGAUGGGCCCGCGGCCUAUCAGCUUGUUGGUGGGGUGAUGGCCUACCAAGGCGACGACGGGUAGCCGGCCUGCGAGGGUGACCGGCCACACUGGGACUGAGAUACGGCCCAGACUCCGACGGGAGGCAGCAGUGGGGAAUAUUGCACAAUGGGCGCAAGCCUGAUGCAGCGACGCCGCGUGAGGGAUGACGGCCUUCGGGUUGUAAACCUCUUUCAGCACCGACGAAGCGCAAGUGACGGUAGGUGCAGAAGAAGGACCGGCCAACUACGUGCCAGCCGCCGCGGUAA
Molecule: ribosomal RNA, 478 nt
Filed under: uncultured bacterium
Lineage: Bacteria
Description: partial 16S ribosomal RNA
Rfam family: Bacterial small subunit ribosomal RNA
Source: RNAcentral